Molecule: long non-coding RNA, 474 nt
Filed under: Manihot esculenta (cassava)
Lineage: Eukaryota; Viridiplantae; Streptophyta; Magnoliopsida; Malpighiales; Euphorbiaceae
Description: long non-coding RNA (MESC_LNC008355)
Source: RNAcentral
AAACGGAUUUAAUUAAAUAAUAAAUUAAAAAUAUAUUUAAAAAUAGAGAAAUUAUAUUAUAUCACUGUAAUUAUAUGUAUUUUGUUUAUAUAAAAUAACCAACUUAUAAUAAAAGGUAAAAUACAUAUGUAAUUUUCUACUUUAACCAACUUUCUCUCCAUUUUAGAGGGAUAAUAUGCGAUGUAAAAUAACCACUACUUUCCCUUCAAUCACAAUUUUUCAUCGGGGAAAAUGUACUGCCAUGCUUAUUUUUCAACUGAUUAUUUUGCAUUCCCUCCAUUUUCUCCUCAUCCAAUCACAGCAGUGAUUGUUUAUGUAUAGAUUGGGCUAUGCUUAGAUUUGUCAUGUCUUCCUUAUUUAUUUGUUGUUUGAUAUUUUUGAAAGAGAUAGAUGUGGAUACAAUAUCAGAAGCAAUACCCAUUUAUGUGUUGAGACCAAAUUCCAAGGGCCAAGAUUUAUGAUCAUCAAGUGAAA